Durotheca rogersii is the source of this 73-nucleotide non-coding RNA. Lineage: Eukaryota; Fungi; Ascomycota; Sordariomycetes; Xylariales; Xylariaceae. The record is from the annotation of a RefSeq genome assembly.
GGUCGGCUGGUGUAGUGGUUAUCACAUCUGUCUUACACACAGAAGGUCGCAGGUUCGAUCCCUGCGCCGACCA